Molecule: ribosomal RNA, 504 nt
Filed under: uncultured bacterium
Lineage: Bacteria
Description: partial 16S ribosomal RNA
Rfam family: Bacterial small subunit ribosomal RNA
Source: RNAcentral
AUUGAACGCUGGCGGCAGGCCUAACACAUGCAAGUCGAGCGGUAACACAGGGAGCUUGCUCCCGGGUGACGAGCGGCGGACGGGUGAGUAAUGUCUGGGAAACUGCCUGAUGGAGGGGGAUAACUACUGGAAACGGUAGCUAAUACCGCAUAAUGUCGCAAGACCAAAGAGGGGGACCUUCGGGCCUCUUGCCAUCAGAUGUGCCCAGAUGGGAUUAGCUAGUAGGUGGGGUAACGGCUCACCUAGGCGACGAUCCCUAGCUGGUCUGAGAGGAUGACCUGCCACACUGGAACUGAGACACGGUCCAGACUCCUACGGGAGGCAGCAGUGGGGAAUAUUGCACAAUGGGCGCAAGCCUGAUGCAGCCAUGCCGCGUGUAUGAAGAAGGCCUUCGGGUUGUAAAGUACUUUCAGCGGGGAGGAAGGUGUUGAGGUUAAUAACCUCAGCAAUUGACGUUACCCGCAGAAGAAGCACCGGCUAACUCCGUGCCAGCCGCCGCCGUAA